This 468-nucleotide ribosomal RNA is filed under the name uncultured bacterium. Its description in RNAcentral is "partial 16S ribosomal RNA". It matches the Rfam family "Bacterial small subunit ribosomal RNA", at positions 28 to 507 of the family's 1533-position model. The record is from RNAcentral.
GAUGAACGCUGGCGGCGUGCUUAACACAUGCAAGUCGAACGGAAAGACCCUGCUUUUGUUCGUUGCUCGAUUGGCGAACACGUGUGUAACACGUGAGUAACCUGCCCUUGACUUUGUGAUAACUUCAGGAAACUGCGGCUAAUAUCGCAUAUGAGCUCCUGCUGCGUGUUGUUCGUUGGAAAGUUUCGGCGGUUGGGGAUGGACUCGCUGCUUAUCAGCUUGUUUGUGUGGUAGUUGCUUACCAAGGCUGUGACGGGUAGCCGGCCUGAGAGGGUUACCGGCCACCUGAGGACUGAGAGACGCACCAGACUGGUACGGGAGGCAGCAGGGGGGAAUAUUGCACAACAGGCGGACGCGAGAGACAACGACGCCGCGUGCGGGAUGACGGCCUACGAGGUGUAAACAACUUUGGAAGGAGAUGAAGACUGAGUGACGGUAACGGAUAAAGAAGCAACGGCUAACUACGUG